RNAcentral lists this ribosomal RNA (1406 nucleotides) under metagenome. Its description in RNAcentral is "bacterial SSU rRNA". It matches the Rfam family "Bacterial small subunit ribosomal RNA". The record is from RNAcentral.
UCUUUGGUACUUAAAUAGCGGCGGACGGGUGAGUAACGCGUAGGUAAUCUGUCUCAUACAGGGGGAUAACACCGGGAAACCGGUGCUAAUACCGCAUAAAACAGAUAAAUGGUAUCAUAUAACUGUCAAAGGAGAAAUCCGGUAAGAGAGGAGCCUGCGUCCGAUUAGCUAGUUGGUGUGGUAAAAGCAUACCAAGGCGACGAUCGGUAGCCGGACUGAGAGGUUGAACGGCCACAUUGGGACUGAGACACGGCCCAGACUCCUACGGGAGGCAGCAGUGGGGAAUAUUGCGCAAUGGGGGAAACCCUGACGCAGCGACGCCGCGUGAAGGAAGAAGGUUUUCGGAUUGUAAACUUCUUUGAUUAGGGAAGAGAAAGGACUGUACCUAAAGAACAAGCCACGGCUAACUACGUGCCAGCAGCCGCGGUAAUACGUAGGUGGCAAGCGUUAUCCGGAAUUACUGGGUGUAAAGGGCGUGUAGGUGGAAAAGGAAGUCAGAUGUGAAAUCCCAAGGCUCAACCAUGGAGUUGCAUCUGAAACUACUUAUCUAGAGUACUGGAGAGGGAAGUGGAAUUCCUAGUGUAGCGGUGAAAUGCGUAGAUAUUAGGAGGAACACCGGUGGCGAAGGCGGCUUCCUGGACAGUAACUGACACUGAGGCGCGAAAGCGUGGGGAGCAAACAGGAUUAGAUACCCUGGUAGUCCACGCUGUAAACGAUGGAUACUAGGUGUAGGGGGUAUUGAAACCUUCUGUGCCGGAGUAAACACAAUAAGUAUCCCACCUGGGGAGUACGACCGCAAGGUUGAAACUCAAAGGAAUUGACGGGGGCCCGCACAAGCAGUGGAGUAUGUGGUUUAAUUCGAAGCAACGCGAAGAACCUUACCGGAGCUUGACAUCCCUCGAAGUUGGUAGAGAUAUCAAUGUCCGUUUGGACGAGGAGACAGGUGGUGCAUGGUUGUCGUCAGCUCGUGUCGUGAGAUGUUGGGUUAAGUCCCGCAACGAGCGCAACCCUUAUUGUUAGUUGCCAGCAUGUAAAGAUGGGGACUCUAACGAGACUGCCGGUGAUAAAUCGGAGGAAGGUGGGGAUGACGUCAAAUCAUCAUGCCCCUUAUGUUCUGGGCUACACACGUACUACAAUGGCUAUUACAGAGGGGAGCGAAGCUUAAAAGGUGGAGCGAAUCCUAAAAGAUAGUCCCAGUUCGGAUUGUGGGCUGAAACUCGCCCACAUGAAGUCGGAAUUGCUAGUAAUGGCAGGUCAGCAUACUGCCGUGAAUACGUUCCCGGGCCUUGUACACACCGCCCGUCGCACCAUGAGAGUCUGUAACACCCGAAGUCAGUAGCUUAACAGGAAACCGAGGGCACUGCCGAAGGUGGGGCAGGUAAUUAGGGUGAAGUCGGAACAAGGUA